UACAGAGGGUGCGAGCGUUGUCCGGAAUCACUGGGCGUAAAGGGCGCGUAGGUGGCGGCCCAAGUCCAUGGUGAAAGCUCGAUGCUCAACAUCGAGUCGGCCACGGAUACUGGGUUGCUCGAGCACUGUAGGGGCAGAUGGAAUUCCUGGUGUAGCGGUGAAGUGCGUAGAUAUCAGGAGGAACACCUGUGGCGAAAGCGGCGCACUGGACCACAACUGACGCUGAGGCGCGAAAGCGUGGGGAGCGAACAGG
RNAcentral lists this ribosomal RNA (253 nucleotides) under uncultured bacterium. RNAcentral describes it as "partial 16S ribosomal RNA". It matches the Rfam family "Bacterial small subunit ribosomal RNA", at positions 524 to 776 of the family's 1533-position model. The record is from RNAcentral.